GCUGUGGUGGUGUAGUGGUCAGCAUGUCUGCCUUGCAAGCAAGAAGACCCGGGUUCGAGUCCUGGCUGCUGCA
Molecule: non-coding RNA, 73 nt
Organism: Schistocerca cancellata (South American locust)
Lineage: Eukaryota; Metazoa; Arthropoda; Insecta; Orthoptera; Acrididae
Source: the annotation of a RefSeq genome assembly